Molecule: long non-coding RNA, 132 nt
Organism: Sander lucioperca (pikeperch)
Lineage: Eukaryota; Metazoa; Chordata; Actinopteri; Perciformes; Percidae
Exons: 2
Source: RefSeq, a predicted model, not a curated record
GUGUGUGUGUGUGUGUGUGUGUGUGUGUGUGUGUGUGUGUGUGUGUGUGAUCUAAUAUUCAGUACUUUGAAAGUACAGAAUCAAACAGCUUCACAGAGUGAGGAAGGGACACAACAAUUAAGGAUUAGAAAA